RNAcentral lists this ribosomal RNA (1179 nucleotides) under Escherichia coli. RNAcentral's name for it is "bacterial LSU rRNA". It matches the Rfam family "Bacterial large subunit ribosomal RNA", at positions 1 to 1212 of the family's 2925-position model. Lineage: Bacteria; Pseudomonadati; Pseudomonadota; Gammaproteobacteria; Enterobacterales; Enterobacteriaceae. The record is from RNAcentral.
GGGUUGUGAGGUUAAGCGACUAAGCGUACACGGUGGAUGCCCUGGCAGUCAGAGGCGAUGAAGGACGUGCUAAUCUGCGAUAAGCGUCGGUAAGGUGAUAUGAACCGUUAUAACCGGCGAUUUCCGAAUGGGGAAACCCAGUGUGUUUCGACACACUAUCAUUAACUGAAUCCAUAGGUUAAUGAGGCGAACCGGGGGAACUGAAACAUCUAAGUACCCCGAGGAAAAGAAAUCAACCGAGAUUCCCCCAGUAGCGGCGAGCGAACGGGGAGCAGCCCAGAGCCUGAAUCAGUGUGUGUGUUAGUGGAAGCGUCUGGAAAGGCGCGCGAUACAGGGUGACAGCCCCGUACACAAAAAUGCACAUGCUGUGAGCUCGAUGAGUAGGGCGGGACACGUGGUAUCCUGUCUGAAUAUGGGGGGACCAUCCUCCAAGGCUAAAUACUCCUGACUGACCGAUAGUGAACCAGUACCGUGAGGGAAAGGCGAAAAGAACCCCGGCGAGGGGAGUGAAAAAGAACCUGAAACCGUGUACGUACAAGCAGUGGGAGCACGCUUCGGCGUGUGACUGCGUACCUUUUGUAUAAUGGGUCAGCGACUUAUAUUCUGUAGCAAGGUUAACCGAAUAGGGGAGCCGAAGGGAAACCGAGUCUUAACUGGGCGUUAAGUUGCAGGGUAUAGACCCGAAACCCGGUGAUCUAGCCAUGGGCAGGUUGAAGGUUGGGUAACACUAACUGGAGGACCGAACCGACUAAUGUUGAAAAAUUAGCGGAUGACUUGUGGCUGGGGGUGAAAGGCCAAUCAAACCGGGAGAUAGCUGGUUCUCCCCGAAAGCUAUUUAGGUAGCGCCUCGUGAACUCGUCUCCGGGGGUAGAGCACUGUUUCGGCAAGGGGGUCAUCCCGACUUACCAACCCGAUGCAAACUGCGAAUACCGGAGAAUGUUAUCACGGGAGACACACGGCGGGUGCUAACGUCCGUCGUGAAGAGGGAAACAACCCAGACCGCCAGCUAAGGUCCCAAAGUCAUGGUUAAGUGGGAAACGAUGUGGGAAGGCCCAGACAGCCAGGAUGUUGGCUUAGAAGCAGCCAUCAUUUAAAGAAAGCGUAAUAGCUCACUGGUCGAGUCGGCCUGCGCGGAAGAUGUAACGGGGCUAAACCAUGCACCGAAGCUGCGGCAGCGAC